This 465-nucleotide ribosomal RNA is filed under the name uncultured bacterium. Its description in RNAcentral is "partial 16S ribosomal RNA". It matches the Rfam family "Bacterial small subunit ribosomal RNA", at positions 28 to 507 of the family's 1533-position model. The record is from RNAcentral.
GACGAACGCUGGCGGCGUGCUUAACACAUGCAAGUCGAACGGAAAGGCCCUGCUUGCAGGGUACUCGAGUGGCGCACGGGUGAGUAACACGUGGGUGUUCUGCCCUGCACUUCGGGAUAAGCCUGGGAAACUGGGUCUAAUACCGGAUAGGAGCCAUCUUUAUGGUGAUGGUUGGAAAGUUUUUUCGGUGUAGGAUGAGCUCGCGGCCUUUCAGGUUGUUGGUGGGGUAAUGGCCUACCAAGGCGGCGGCGGGUAGCCGGCCUGGGGGGGUGGACGGCCACAUUGGGGCUGGGGUACGGCCCAGACUCCUACGGGGGGCAGCAGGGGGGAAUAAUGCACAAUGGGGGGAAGCCUGAUGCAGCGACGCCGGGGGGGGGAUGACGGCCUUCGGGUUGUAAACUCCUUUCGCUAGGGACGAAGCUGUUUGUGACGGUACCUAGAUAAGAAGCACCGGCUAACUACGUG